GUGCCAGCAGCCGCGGUAAUACGUAGGUGGCAAGCGUUAUCCGGAAUUAUUGGGCGUAAAGCGCGCGCAGGUGGUUUCUUAAGUCUGAUGUGAAAGCCCACGGCUCAACCGUGGAGGGUCAUUGGAAACUGGGAGACUUGAGUGCAGAAAGAGGAAAGUGGAAUUCCAUGUGUAGCGGUGAAAUGCGUAGAGAUAUGGAGGAACACCAGUGGCGAAGGCGACUUUCUGGUCUGUAACUGACACUGAGGCGCGAAAGCGUGGGGAGCAAACAGGAUUAGAUACCCUGGUAGUCC
Molecule: ribosomal RNA, 293 nt
Filed under: uncultured microorganism
Description: partial 16S ribosomal RNA
Rfam family: Bacterial small subunit ribosomal RNA
Source: RNAcentral